RNAcentral lists this small nuclear RNA (23 nucleotides) under Arabidopsis thaliana (thale cress). RNAcentral describes it as "snRNA_16556". The record is from RNAcentral. Lineage: Eukaryota; Viridiplantae; Streptophyta; Magnoliopsida; Brassicales; Brassicaceae.
UUUUUCAUGAAGCGUAUGUGAAA